UAAACUACUUUGAGCAAGAUUCCCACCUCCU
RNAcentral lists this non-coding RNA (31 nucleotides) under Mus musculus (house mouse). The record is from RNAcentral. Lineage: Eukaryota; Metazoa; Chordata; Mammalia; Rodentia; Muridae.